UGACAUAACCUGGUUGUAUUCUAUAUUUACUGAAACAAGAACUAAGGCUUAAGUGUAUUCCCUGUCAAUCAUCCAUAUCCCACAAAUACUAACAUAGAGAGGGAGUAAGGAGUUGAACUUGUAAGAGUUAUGGAACCUCGGUUGGCAACUAACUGGACAGAUUCAGACAUAGACUUAAGAACAUAUCUGAACCAGCUAUAACCUUCACCGCGAACCAGAUAAAAGGCAUGAACCAAUACCAGUCACUCCAACCAAUACCAAAUUUAUCACAAAUUCAACCCACCAGCUACCCUAGUCCAAGAUCUAAAGACACAAAAUUAAAAUCCGAAAGAAAGACCGCAAACAAGAGAAGCUCGAGACUGUGUAAGACCUUAAACCACUGCAAAGACUACUACGAUACCCAAGCCUUCCGCUUCUUCAACCC
RNAcentral lists this long non-coding RNA (424 nucleotides) under Brassica napus (rape). RNAcentral's name for it is "long non-coding RNA (BNAP_LNC023066)". Lineage: Eukaryota; Viridiplantae; Streptophyta; Magnoliopsida; Brassicales; Brassicaceae. The record is from RNAcentral.